RNAcentral lists this ribosomal RNA (425 nucleotides) under uncultured bacterium. RNAcentral's name for it is "partial 16S ribosomal RNA". It matches the Rfam family "Bacterial small subunit ribosomal RNA", at positions 354 to 796 of the family's 1533-position model. The record is from RNAcentral.
GUGGGGAAUAUUGGACAAUGGGCGAAAGCCUGAUCCAGCAAUGCCGCGUGAGUGAUGAAGGCCUUCGGGUUGUAAAGCUCUUUAGUCCACGAAUAUAAUGACUGUAGUGGAAGAAUAAGCCCCGGCUAACUUCGUGCCAGCAGCCGCGGUAAUACGAAGGGGGCGAGCGUUAUUCGGAAUCACUGGGCGUAAAGCGUGCGUAGGCUGUUUUGUAAGUCAGAAUUGAAAGCACAGGGCUUAACCCUGGAAUUGCUUUUGAAACUACAAAACUCGAAUUCGUGAGAGGAUAGCGGAAUUGUCAGUGUAGCAGUGAAAUGCGUAGAUAUUGACAGGAACACCAGUGGCGCAAGCGGCUAUCUGGACCGAUAUUGACGCUGAGGCACGAAAGCGUGGGGAGCAAACAGGAUUAGAAACCCGGGUAGUCC